GCGCGCGUAGCCAAGAGGCCAGGCGGCGGCCUGCAAAGCCGCAGACGUCGGUUCGACUCCGACCGCGCGCU
RNAcentral lists this transfer RNA (71 nucleotides) under Acidobacteriota bacterium. RNAcentral describes it as "Acidobacteria bacterium (rhizosphere metagenome) tRNA-Cys". It matches the Rfam family "tRNA". From Rfam's summary of the family: Transfer RNA (tRNA) molecules are approximately 80 nucleotides in length. Their secondary structure includes four short double-helical elements and three loops (D, anti-codon, and T loops). The record is from RNAcentral. Lineage: Bacteria; Pseudomonadati; Acidobacteriota.